ACUGAGCUUGUUUUUAUCUCCUGACACACUCCCAGCUUCUUGAAAGCCCCCUGCAGACUGCAAGCCAUAGGUUUGAUACUUUGCACAGCUCUUCCCCUGGUGCUUCCAACUCAGGACAUUGGGGCCAGCUUGUCUCUGAAAAAUCAGGCUUUUAUAAGAAAUCUCAAGGCAAAAGGCUGAACUCUCUUGGUGGCUCCCAAGCACAAAUAACUUUCUUAUGUGAGUUUUUCACGUUUUGCAAUUGGGGUCAGAGGAAAACAGUUUCCAUUCUACGUGGCUCUGGGUGGCGUAAGCCCCACUUCUAGUCCUAGCUCUGUCAUUUCAUUCCUCUAGACCUCAGUUACCUCUUCUGUAAUGUAAAGUGAUUGAAUCCUACAAGGCACUGACAUUUGGACUCUUGUUUCCAGGAAUCGCAGGGUGCUUAUAGCUUUCACCUCUCUGCCCUCCUUUCCCAUUUAUGCCUCUCUAAGGAUGUCUAAAUACGAGUCCAGACACUUAUCAUGUGUUGAGCAUAAGUGUGCCCCUCUGUUCAGAUCAGCCUGCACGAUGGACAUGAGAACAAGGGAUGUCAUGACUACUUAUUUGCCAGUGAAGGAAGGCACUUAAAGUGGCUUAAGCAAUAAUGGGGAUUUAUUGGCUUGUGUAACUACAAGUCCAGGGAGUGGAGAGUCUUCAUGUAUGACUUGAUCCAUGUGCUCAAAGAACGGUGUGAGGAACGGGUCUCUUUCCUCUUCUCCCUACCGCUUGGCUCUCCUCAAUUUGGCUUCAUUCUCAGGCAGCAUUCUCCAUGCUGGCUUCAGUUUGCAUUAUAACUUCUGCAGAAAGAGAGCUUCUCUUUCCCGAAAUCUUGGGUUGGCUUUAAUUAUCUCAGCUUGUGUCACAUACUCUAUAUCAGUCAGGACCCUAACAGGAAAUAGUUCACUGAAAUUGGAUGCUUUGAGGAGACUUUAAUUAGGGACUGUUCUCAAAUACGUAGGCAGUGUGCAGAGAAACCACAGAGAACGGAGGCACCCUGAGGCUGUAACACUGGGAUUCUAUUAUUAUUCCUAGGCACGGAAACAGAAAGAGCUGUGUGGCCAGGACUGUCUGAUGGACUGCAACCUUCCUUUGAGGGCUGCAUUUACCCACGCAGCCAUUCAGGAACCAGAACCAGCAUGCUGCCUGGUGCUGCAUUCCAUCCAUUCCCUGUUUCAGCCCAGGUGGAGGACUGACAAGGAGAAGGAAGGAAGGGGAAGACUGAGAGGACACUCGAGAGGUCCAAAGCUGCACUUUGUCUUUCGUCUUCUGCUUUUUCCUUUAGUUAACACAUUAUUUGUAAGUAAUAAUGUACUGCAUUAAGUAAUUAAGUAAUGAAUGCAUACAGUCCUCAUAUAUUGCAUCGGUACAAAAGUAAUUGUGAUUUUUGCCAUUACUUUCAAUGGCAAAAAGAGCAAUUACUUUUGCACCAACCUCAUAUAUGUAUAAAAGUAUUCAAGCAAACAGAAAAAAGUAUGACUUCUCUCUCUGAAGGUCAUUGCUGUUAUCACAUUAGCAUUUAUCCAGAUGCUUUUAUUUAUUUAAAUGUAUACAUACACAUACACACAUAGAAAGAAAAAUGUGCCUUUGUGUUUUAUGCAUAUUUUAUCUAAUAAAUAAUAUUAUUCUGCAUUUAUUGUUUGUAGCUUUUUUUUUCUCCUUAGUUAUAUACCUUACCAUGUUGGCACUCAAUCUUUUUACCUGCUACAUGAUAGAAGUUUGUAGUAUCAUUAUGCUACAUUUCAUUUAAUUAAUCUUUUACUAAUGGAGACUUAGGUUGUUUUUAUUUUUCUUUAUAUAGUGAGCAUUAUAAAACAUGAAUUGUUAUACAUAGGUACUUGUUUUUCUCCAAGACAAAUGCCUUUUCACUGGUAUUGCUGGUCCUUUAGGUAAGUUUUCUUUUAUACUGUUUGCUAAAAUAUUAUUUUCUUCAUUAAAGUCUUAGAAAUUUUUGUGAGCUGUAUUCUUAGCUAGUUUCAUAAUUUCUAUUAUGAACAAGAAUCUGUUAUUCUGUUAUAUUUUAUAAUGCAUUGUCUUUGGUGUAUAGGAAAAGCUAUUGUUUUUUUACUUUAUUUGUAUAUUUUUUAAAUAAAAUUAUUUUAUUUGUUGUAGA
This is a long non-coding RNA of Homo sapiens (human), 2128 nucleotides long. RefSeq lists it as uncharacterized. The record is from RefSeq and is a predicted model, not a curated record. NCBI's taxonomy places the organism in Eukaryota, Metazoa, Chordata, Mammalia, Primates, Hominidae. The transcript is spliced from 2 exons.